This 429-nucleotide ribosomal RNA is filed under the name Fusobacteriota bacterium. RNAcentral describes it as "Fusobacteria bacterium partial 16S ribosomal RNA". It matches the Rfam family "Bacterial small subunit ribosomal RNA", at positions 355 to 776 of the family's 1533-position model. Lineage: Bacteria; Fusobacteriati; Fusobacteriota. The record is from RNAcentral.
UGGGGAAUAUUGCGCAAUGGGCGAAAGCCUGACGCAGCGACGCCGCGUGAGGGAUGAAGGUUUUCGGAUCGUAAACCUCUGUCAGAAGGGAAGAAACCGCACUGUGCUAAUCAGCAGUGCCUUGACGGUACCUUCAAAGGAAGCACCGGCUAACUCCGUGCCAGCAGCCGCGGUAAUACGGAGGGUGCAAGCGUUAAUCGGAAUUACUGGGCGUAAAGCGCACGUAGGCUGCUUUGUAAGUCAGGGGUGAAAUCCCACGGCUCAACCGUGGAACUGCCUUUGAUACUGCUUAGCUUGAAUCCGGGAGAGGGUGGCGGAAUUCCAGGUGUAGGGGUGAAAUCCGUAGAUAUCUGGAGGAACAUCAGUGGGGAGGGCGGCCACCUGGACCGGUAUUGACGCUGAGGUGCGAAAGCGUGGGGAGCAAAAAGG